GAGAGUAUAGCUCAGUGGUAUAGUGCAUGUCUGGCGUGCAUGAGGUCCUGGGUUUGAUCCCCAGAACCUCCA
RNAcentral lists this transfer RNA (72 nucleotides) under Camelus bactrianus (Bactrian camel). It matches the Rfam family "tRNA". Rfam says of the family: Transfer RNA (tRNA) molecules are approximately 80 nucleotides in length. Their secondary structure includes four short double-helical elements and three loops (D, anti-codon, and T loops). RNAcentral also lists the same sequence under 2 other names. The record is from Rfam by way of RNAcentral. Lineage: Eukaryota; Metazoa; Chordata; Mammalia; Artiodactyla; Camelidae.